RNAcentral lists this ribosomal RNA (2912 nucleotides) under Escherichia coli. RNAcentral's name for it is "23S ribosomal RNA". It matches the Rfam family "Bacterial large subunit ribosomal RNA". Lineage: Bacteria; Pseudomonadati; Pseudomonadota; Gammaproteobacteria; Enterobacterales; Enterobacteriaceae. The record is from RNAcentral.
UUAAGCGACUAAGCGUACACGGUGGAUGCCCUGGCAGUCAGAGGCGAUGAAGGACGUGCUAAUCUGCGAUAAGCGUCGGUAAGGUGAUAUGAACCGUUAUAACCGGCGAUUUCCGAAUGGGGAAACCCAGUGUGUUUCGACACACUAUCAUUAACUGAAUCCAUAGGUUAAUGAGGCGAACCGGGGGAACUGAAACAUCUAAGUACCCCGAGGAAAAGAAAUCAACCGAGAUUCCCCCCAGUAGCGGCGAGCGAACGGGGAGCAGCCCAGAGCCUGAAUCAGUAUGUGUGUUAGUGGAAGCGUCUGGAAAGGCGCGCGAUACAGGGUGACAGCCCCGUACACAAAAAUGCACAUGCUGUGAGCUCGAUGAGUAGGGCGGGACACGUGGUAUCCUGUCUGAAUAUGGGGGGACCAUCCUCCAAGGCUAAAUACUCCUGACUGACCGAUAGUGAACCAGUACCGUGAGGGAAAGGCGAAAAGAACCCCGGCGAGGGGAGUGAAAAAGAACCUGAAACCGUGUACGUACAAGCAGUGGGAGCACGCUUAGGCGUGUGACUGCGUACCUUUGUAUAAUGGGUCAGCGACUUAUAUUCUGUAGCAAGGUUAACCGAAUAGGGGAGCCGAAGGGAAACCGAGUCUUAACUGGGCGUUAAGUUGCAGGGUAUAGACCCGAAACCCGGUGAUUCUAGCCAUGGGCAGGUUGAAGGUUGGGUAACACUAACUGGAGGACCGAACCGACUAAUGUUGAAAAAAUUAGCGGAUGACUUGUGGCUGGGGGGUGAAAGGCCAAUCAAACCGGGAGAUAGCUGGUUCUCCCCGAAAGCUAUUUAGGUAGCGCCUCGUGAAUUCAUCUCCGGGGGGUAGAGCACUGUUUCGGCAAGGGGGUCAUCCCGACUUACCAACCCGAUGCAAACUGCGAAUACCGGAGAAUGUUAUCACGGGAGACACACGGCGGGUGCUAACGUCCGUCGUGAAGAGGGAAACAACCCAGACCGCCAGCUAAGGUCCCAAAGUCAUGGUUAAGUGGGAAACGAUGUGGGAAGGCCCAGACAGCCAGGAUGUUGGCUUAGAAGCAGCCAUCAUUUAAAGAAAGCGUAAUAGCUCACUGGUCGAGUCGGCCUGCGCGGAAGAUGUAACGGGGCUAAACCAUGCACCGAAGCUGCGGCAGCGACGCUGAUGCGUUGUUGGGUAGGGGGAGCGUUCUGUAAGCCUGCGAAGGUGUGCUGUGAGGCAUGCUGGAGGUAUCAGAAGUGCGAAUGCUGACAUAAGUAACGAUAAAGCGGGUGAAAAGCCCGCUCGCCGGAAGACCAAGGGUUCCUGUCCAACGUUAAUCGGGGCAGGGUGAGUCGACCCCUAAGGCGAGGCCGAAAGGCGUAGUCGAUGGGAAACAGGUUAAUAUUCCUGUACUUGGUGUUACUGCGAAGGGGGGACGGAGAAGGCUAUGUUGGCCGGGCGACGGUUGUCCCGGUUUAAGCGUGUAGGCUGGUUUUCCGAGCAAAUCCGGAAAAUCAAGGCUGAGGCGUGAUGACGAGGCACUACGGUGCUGAAGCAACAAAUGCCCUGCUUCCGUGAAAAGCCUCUAAGCAUCAGGUAACAUCAAAUCGUACCCCCAAACCGACACAGGUGGUCAGGUAGAGAAUACCAAGGCGCUUGAGAGAACUCGGGUGAAGGAACUAGGCAAAAUGGUGCCGUAACUUCGGGAGAAGGCACGCUGAUAUGUAGGUGAGGUCCCUCGCGGAUGGAGCUGAAAUCAGUCGAAGAUACCAGCUGGCUGCAACUGUUUAUUAAAAACACAGCACUGUGCAAACACGAAAGUGGACGUAUACGGUGUGACGCCUGCCCGGUGCCGGAAGGUUAAUUGAUGGGGUUAGCCGCAAGGCGAAGCUCUUGAUCGAAGCCCCGGUAAACGGCGGCCGUAACUAUAACGGUCCUAAGGUAGCGAAAUUCCUUGUCGGGUAAGUUCCGACCUGCACGAAUGGCGUAAUGAUGGCCAGGCUGUCUCCACCCGAGACUCAGUGAAAUUGAACUCGCUGUGAAGAUGCAGUGUACCCGCGGCAAGACGGAAAGACCCCGUGAACCUUUACUAUAGCUUGACACUGAACAUUGAGCCUUGAUGUGUAGGAUAGGUGGGAGGCUUAGAAGUGUGGACGCCAGUCUGCAUGGAGCCGACCUUGAAAUACCACCCUUUAAUGUUUGAUGUUCUAACGUUGACCCGUAAUCCGGGUUGCGGACAGUGUCUGGUGGGUAGUUUGACUGGGGGCGGUCUCCUCCUAAAGAGUAACGGAGGAGCACGAAGGUUGGCUAAUCUCGGGUCGGACAUCAGGAGGUUAGUGCAAUGGCAUAAGCCAGCUUGACUGCGAGCGUGACGGCGCGAGCAGGUGCGAAAGCAGGUCAUAGUGAUCCGGUGGUUCUGAAUGGAAGGGCCAUCGCUCAACGGAUAAAAGGUACUCCGGGGAUAACAGGCUGAUACCGCCCAAGAGUUCAUAUCGACGGCGGUGUUUGGCACCUCGAUGUCGGCUCAUCACAUCCCGGGGCUGAAGUAGGUCCCAAGGGUAUGGCUGUUCGCCAUUUAAAGUGGUACGCGAGCUGGGUUUAGAACGUCGUGAGACAGUUCGGUCCCCUAUCUGCCGUGGGCGCUGGAGAACUGAGGGGGGCUGCUCCUAGUACGAGAGGACCGGAGUGGACGCAUCACUGGUGUUCGGGUUGUCAUGCCAAUGGCACUGCCCGGUAGCUAAAUGCGGAAGAGAUAAGUGCUGAAAGCAUCUAAGCACGAAACUUGCCCCGAGAUGAGUUCUCCCUGACCCUUUAAGGGUCCUGAAGGAACGUUGAAGACGACGACGUUGAUAGGCCGGGUGUGUAAGCGCAGCGAUGCGUUGAGCUAACCGGUACUAAUGAACCGUGAGGCUUAACCU